CAGUAGCCGCGGGAAUACGUAGGUGGCAAGCGUUGUCCGGAAUUAUUGGGCGUAAAGGGCUCGCAGGCGGUUUCUUAAGUCUGAUGCGAAAGCCCCCGGCUCAACCGGGGAGGGUCAUUGGAAACUGGGAAACUUGAGUGCAAAAGAGGAGAGUGGAAUUCCACGUGUAGCGGUGAAAUGCGUAGAGAUGUGGAGGAACACCAGCGGCGAAGGCGACUCUCUGGUCUGUAACUGACGCUGAGGAGCGAAAGCGUGGGGAGCGAACAGGAUUAGAUACCCCGGUAGUCCCUGUCUCUUAUAC
This 301-nucleotide ribosomal RNA is filed under the name uncultured bacterium. RNAcentral describes it as "partial 16S ribosomal RNA". It matches the Rfam family "Bacterial small subunit ribosomal RNA", at positions 509 to 807 of the family's 1533-position model. The record is from RNAcentral.